RNAcentral lists this small RNA (88 nucleotides) under Sinorhizobium meliloti 2011. RNAcentral's name for it is "putative ncRNA". Lineage: Bacteria; Pseudomonadati; Pseudomonadota; Alphaproteobacteria; Hyphomicrobiales; Rhizobiaceae. The record is from RNAcentral.
CGCAAUUUGCCCGCACCAGGCCACUGGAAAGGGCAGUAUGCGGUUCUUCUAGUGACCGGACGGCAAAAAACCGUACCUGGUCGAGGGA